CUGAUCCAGCCAUGCCGCGUGUGUGAAGAAGGCCUUCGGGUUGUAAAGCACUUUCAGCGGGGAGGAAGGUGCUCUGGUUAAUACCUGGGGCCAUUGACGUUACCCGCAGAAGAAGCACCGGCUAACUCCGUGCCAGCAGCCGCGGUAAUAAA
This 152-nucleotide ribosomal RNA is filed under the name uncultured bacterium. RNAcentral's name for it is "partial 16S ribosomal RNA". It matches the Rfam family "Bacterial small subunit ribosomal RNA", at positions 383 to 527 of the family's 1533-position model. The record is from RNAcentral.